This 23-nucleotide microRNA is filed under the name Ornithorhynchus anatinus (platypus). Its description in RNAcentral is "oan-miR-7420-3p". The record is from miRBase by way of RNAcentral. Lineage: Eukaryota; Metazoa; Chordata; Mammalia; Monotremata; Ornithorhynchidae.
UAUGGAUCGUCACAGCAGCAUUC